AUGAGGGGCAGGCGGCCGGAUGUGACGAUAUUGCGGAGCGGAAGGCCUGCAAGUUGGAAUGACGAUAGUCGCUGUUUCAGGGAGGGGACCUACAACAAUCAAUUAUACCUGUGUGAAAGGUUCUGAAAAUGCAGGAAUUGGCAUCAAGGGUGCUGGAUUUAUCACUGCCUGUGGCUUUCCUACCAUCUGACAAACAUGACAGGGCCUUCGGGUGGAAUAUGGCUGCCGGUGAAUUUCAGUUGGGCUGAAAAGAUUGGAUGGAAAGUGGGAGUUCAAACAAAGUGGAAGCCAAGAAGGCAAGACUGUGAGAUUGCCUGCACUGCCACA
This is a non-coding RNA of Chiloscyllium plagiosum (whitespotted bambooshark), 327 nucleotides long. The record is from RefSeq and is a predicted model, not a curated record. NCBI's taxonomy places the organism in Eukaryota, Metazoa, Chordata, Chondrichthyes, Orectolobiformes, Hemiscylliidae.